UGCUAUCACUUAUAGAUGGACCUGCGCCGUAUUAGCUAGUUGGUAAGGUAACGGCUUACCAAGGCAACGAUACGUAGCCGACCUGAGAGGGUGAUCGGCCACACUGGAACUGAGACACGGUCCAGACUCCUACGGGAGGCAGCAGUAGGGAAUCUUCCGCAAUGGGCGAAAGCCUGACGGAGCAACGCCGCGUGAGUGAUGAAGGUCUUCGGAUCGUAAAACUCUGUUAUUAGGGAAGAACAAACGUGUAAGUAACUGUGCACGUCUUGACGGUACCUAAUCAGAAAGCCACGGCUAACUACGUGCCAGCAGCCGCGGUAAUACGUAGGUGGCAAGCGUUAUCCG
Molecule: ribosomal RNA, 345 nt
Filed under: Staphylococcus hominis VCU122
Lineage: Bacteria; Bacillati; Bacillota; Bacilli; Caryophanales; Staphylococcaceae
Description: bacterial SSU rRNA
Rfam family: Bacterial small subunit ribosomal RNA
Source: RNAcentral